CCCAACCAGCCUUUUAACCCAAAUACCGUGUCUUACACCCACCAAGUCUUCAGCUGGAAGCAUCUCGUGUGUCAGAUGGUAGGUGAGAAGCAGAGCAGAGAUAAGGUUGGAGCCUUUCUCGGGUAGACAAAGAUGAUGAUCGAAGCUUUUCCUGAAUAGGCAGAGAAGAUGAUCGAAGCUCUUCUUAGAUGGAUCAGCAGCAAACCAACAGCGUCUUCUCACAAGGUCAAAGAGCCACGUGAAGGCUUUAGAAAGAAGAUCAAAAAGGAGGUUGAAGAGAGGAUAAGAUCGGAGAAGAAGAAGAAAAGUGGAGGAGGAGAGGUAAACGUAGAAAAGCUUUAAACUGUUUUAUUUAUUAUGUGUGUUGUGUAUUUUCAUAUAUUUACAUCAAGGAGAGAACUCUAUUUAUAGAGUUCUCUGGGGAUGGGUAAAACAUAAAAAGAGAAAAAGAAUAUCAAGAAAAUCCUAGGAAAAUCCUAGGAAAAUCCUAGCAGAAUAUGUGUGAUUAUUGUAAAUAAACAGAAUCCACUAAGUAACUAACUCCAGUAAACAUAUACUUCCACUUAGAUGCUACAAAGACCAACACGCUUUGUAUUAACCCAGAACAAACGAAAAACAAAGGAUAAAGUUGAAAAGCAUCACUGUAACUUAAAAAGAUAAAACAAAAUACACCAACUAUUAAUAAUAAUCAAAUUUAAAUAUUGAGCUCAUCACUGCUGACAUUGCUUGUAAACUUCACCACCAUCUUCUCUUCUCCUAAUUAAGCUUCAUGACUCCUUCCCUUUUUUAUAAUGAAAAAUACCUAAGAUAUAAUAAUGAAAGAAUUUUAUAAGAAUAACUAAAUUAAUAGGAAAUGCUUCAUUAUCAUAUAAGUUAGCACCUUAAAAAUUUUAAUUCACCAUAAAACAUCUUAAAUUCAUUUUUCUUAUUUCCAUUAUUCUAAUAUAUUUUCACUUUUCUUACAAAUUGUUUUUCAUCGACCCCAAUUUUGAUAAAUAAAAAUAUGAUUGAACUAAAAUAAAGGAAAUUGAUCUACUCACUCACUCUACUUUAACCACUUAAAAAAAAAAAAAGAACCUUAAAAGUUAAGAUACCGCUAUGAUAUAUGACUUGAGAAAACAAAUAUAUGUUUUCAUUCUAAACUCAAUUCACUUAUAUUAAUAUAUGUUUUAAAAUAAAUUAGAUAUAAAUAUUACUAUAAUUUAAAAAUAUAUAAAUAAUAAUCAAUAAUUAAAAAAUAAAUGAAGAACUAAAUUAUAUUUUAAUAACGGUGAAGAACAAACUAUUAUUAAAGAUAAAUUCAAAUAAAAUUCGUAUAAAAGAAAUUAUACCAACCAGUAUUGUUAUGCAACUUGUUCGAUCUUAACGAAAGGAUUCAUGUUGACGACCACCAUGCAUGAUGAAGUCGAUAUCUCAAGUCAAAGAAACUUGAAAAAAACAUGCCUAAACUUUUUGUUUAAGAAAAUAGCACAGCAAACUCCCACAAAGCCUGUCACAAAUCCGGAUUCCAUUCUGAUGUAAAACCAUUCAAAAACUUUAGAUUGAUUUCCGUCUUCGUCUACAAGCUUUGUGUGUUCAUGUUUAUCAUCCUGAAAGCAGAUUUUCGUAAGUGGGGGUCCACAAAGAUCAUCAUUGCCCAUGUAUCUAAGUGUACUGAAUCCCUGAAGUUGUGUGCCUGAUGGUAUUUUACCUGUUAAAUCAUUGAAUGAUAGGUUCAAGUAACCCAAAAAGUACAAUCAUCUGGAUAAACUUUGAGGAAUUUCUCUCCCAAGUUGGUUUAUAGAAAAAUCGAGGGACUCCAAGUUUUUCAUAUUUCCUAUCUCAUUUGGUAUUUCUCCUGCUAAUUUGUUGUUGGAUAAAUUCAAGGAAUGCAAUCCAAUGAGACUAAACAGUUGUGGAGGUAUUGUUCCGGACAAAUUGUUGCUUGACAUAUCAAUUAAGGUCAUAAAAUGUAGGUUUUUUCCAUAUUGUAAUACCUGACCUUUAGUAACCAAUUCUAGACUGUCGUGAGUGAUAAUGUAACUAUUAGGAAUUAAUAAAGGAAAUUGAAAAGAAAAUUUGUUGGUUGAAACACUAUUGAAAAGUAGGGUUUUGAUAUUACCAAGACAAGUGGGUAUAUGACCGGAGAUUGUGUUUUGUGAAAUAUCCAACAAAAUGAGGGAAGACAUUUCACAUAUUUGUGGUGAGAUUUUACCACUAAAAUGAUUAUACUUUAAUUGGAGAGCCAAUACACCAUGAGAUAUCCAAUCUGGUAUGUUUCCUGAUAAUUGGUUAUUGCGAACAUUGAAAACCAAGAGAGAGUGACAAUUUUGCAAUGAGAGAGGAACUUGUCCAUGUAGUUUAUUCUCAUGCAAAUGGAGUGAGGUGAGAUUAGAUAAGAAGCCUAGUGAUGGAGGUAUCUUUCCUGAUAGAUUAUUAUAUCCCAAGUGAAUAGCAACCAAAGAUUUCCAAUUCUUCCAACAAUUCGUAAGCACUCCAGAUACAUUAUUCAAUGAUAUGUCCAAAUACAACAAAUUGUUUUUCCCAUUCGACACAUUAUGACCACAUAAGAGGGGAGACAAUUCUCCUGAUAAUAAAUUAUUUGAUAAUGAGACAAUAACCACGUUUGGUGAUAAUUGAGGCAAGCAACCUUUCAAACCAUUUGAUGAUAGAUCAAUGAUUGUAGAGUUCAACAACACAUUUGACAUGUCUCCGUCUAAAUUGUCUUCUAAGUCGAGUUCAAUCACUGAUGAUACAAAUUGCCAAAAUUUGUCUGGAGCCUCAAAUGCCGAAUCAUAUAUAGUUAAUCUUUCAAGUGAUCGUUGUGUAUAAAACCACGCAGGAAGGUUGGGAUUUGAAAACCCGAUUGCUAAUUCCUCAAGUUGAAAUGGUGGAAUCCAAUCUGAGUCAAAAUCAAAGAUUAACCCGACAUAAGAGUAUAUGUUCAGGAACUUUAAUUUUGACAAUUUGACAAAAUUUCUUUCAGAUACAACUCCAGUCAAUGGAUUUGAGCCAACAACCAAGUUAAUCAAGGUUGAUAGGUUUCCCAAAUUUGUGGGAGUAGAUCCUGAAAAGUUGUUUACUCCAAGAAUAAGAGUUUCUAAUUGUUUGAAAUGACCUAACCAAUCUGGAAUGGGUCCAUCAAAGUUAUCGUCUUCCAUGUUCAGGAAUUCCAGUUCUCGAAGAUUUAACAAAUCCUUAGGUAGAUGCCCUACUAAAGAACUUGAGCUAAAGUCUAAAGUAUAGAUAGUGAAACUAAGAUUGAAUAGCCAAUUAGGUAACUCUGAAUUGAAUGCAUUUCCAGAAAGGUCAAGAACCUGGAGGGCAGUAAAAUUAGCAUACCGGAGAGACAAACUUAAGUCUUUAAGCUGACAACCACGCAUAGCAAGGAGUGAAAGUGAUGAAACCUCAGUCACUAAUUGAAGCCAAUUAGUUUCCUCGCUAAGAUCAACACUGCAGAGAUUAAGAUAUUCCAAGGUGAAAAUGUAGGGAAGCCAUUUAAGAUUAUUGAUGGCAAGAUUCCAGUUAAGUGAUAAAUCAAGAUGACGAAGAGUUGAAGAGUUGACACACUGACUAUGAGAUGAAGUAGGUAUAGAUAGAUUAUGACAAUUAUGAUUAUUCAGAUAAUCAAAUUCUAAUGCUAAGAAGUCAUUGUUUCUCAAAUUCAAGUAUUCUAAAAAUUCCAACUCCACUAACAACAAGGAGAGGUUAAUGGAACAUGUAAGACAAUGUGAUUUAUCUUCUUUGUCCAUGUAAAUUGGAGGAAUUCUAGAACAUGGGAGAGAGAUUCCAGUGACUCUACUAGUGAUGUUGCUACAGAUGACUCUUCCCAAUGACAACAAUUAGGGUUGGGUAAAAAUAAUUGAUUUGUAUUAUACUGCAGUGAACUAUACUAUAUUGUACUAUCUUAUGGUUUAGUUUUUAAAAACUGAACUGAUAACAGUUACAGUUCAGUUAACUGUGAGAACUGUAUCUACUCUUACAUCUUCUCUAAUUUUAGUAACAGUUUCAUCUUGUCAAGAAAAGUUUAUUUAAUAAUAAAAUAUUAAUAAAUGUUCACAUAAAAAAAUAAUAAUUAAUUUUUUAAAACAACAUUUUUAUCACAAAAUUUAUAUUUUUAUCAAUAAAAAUAAAAAAAUGUAAUUUAUAUUUUUAUAUUUUUUAAGUUAUAUAUAUAAAUAAAUAAAUAAAUAAAAUAUAUAUAUAUAUAUAUAUAUNNNNNNNNNNNNNNNNNNNNNNNNNNNNNNNNNNNNNNNNNNNNNNNNNNNNNNNNNNNNNNNNNNNNNNNNNNNNNNNNNNNNNNNNNNNNNNNNNNNNNNNNNNNNNNNNNNNNNNNNNNNNNNNNNNNNNNNNNNNNNNNNNNNNNNNNNNNNNNNNNNNNNNNNNNNNNNNNNNNNNNNNNNNNNNNNNNNNNNNNNNNNNNNNNNNNNNNNNNNNNNNNNNNNNNNNNNNNNNNNNNNNNNNNNNNNNNNNNNNNNNNNNNNNNNUAUAUAUAUAUAUAUAUAUAUAUAUUUAUUAAUAAAAUAAUUUUUAAUAAUAAAAGAAAUAUAAAUAAAAUAGAAAAUAAUAAUAUUAAAUAAUUAAAAAUCAAUUUUUAGAUAAUUAUGAAUAAAAUAAAAUAAAUAUUAAAAUAAAUUUCAAUUAAAAAGAACAUGUAUUGUUAUACUAUUUAGUUUAAAAAUUAGCACAAUUCAGUAUAGUUACUAGUUCAGUUUCAGUUUAUAUUGUAGUUUAGUUAAAAUUAGUGUAGUUUACAAUUUAGUUAAUAGUUCAGUUAGUGUAAUUUACAAUUCAGUUAAUAGUUUAGUUCAGUUAGCACAGUUUACAGUUCAGUUAAUAGCUCACUUACUGUAGUUUACAAUUCAAUUAAUAGUUUAGUUCAGUUCGUACUGUAAUUUAGUACAAUUCAGUAUAGUUCAAUUCAGUUUGAUAAAACAAAAAACAGUUCAGUUUGUCUGAACUGUUUUAGAGUUCAGCAGUACAGUUCAGUUCGAUUUGCCCACCCCUAACAACAAUCUAGUUUAGUGGACCAUGAAGAAAGGACACUUGAUGGAUCUACCACCCCUUGCUUGAAGUUGAAGAGAGCAUGCAAGUCUUGUUGGUUGCAACGCAUAUUGAAGCUGCAAAAGGCAGCGUUGAACAUGAUUCCGCAGAGCACCCAUACAAAAAUGAUUGGAUUUUGAGAGAGAAGUUUACUCAUGAUUUUCAAAAGAAACGAAGAGGACGAUGGAUGACUUGAAUAUAAUGGAGAGAAACUCUAUUUAUAGUAAUUGAAGUCUAUACAAAAGUUUCACAUCCCGUAAUAUUAGGUUAAGAUAUGAAAUUUUGUGUUAAACAAUAAGGUAAAGUUUAUUAGCAUUGCAACGACUUGACUAGAGAAACCGAUUGUAACAUAUUACUUGACAAAAUGUGUCCUCACGAAAUCGAAUUUGGAAAGACGUUGUGAA
Molecule: long non-coding RNA, 5426 nt
Filed under: Vigna radiata
Lineage: Eukaryota; Viridiplantae; Streptophyta; Magnoliopsida; Fabales; Fabaceae
Description: long non-coding RNA (VRAD_LNC017158)
Source: RNAcentral